AAUAGGCUAGGUCUAAAGUGAUUCAGCCCAAAAGAAAAUAACAUGCAAUAUAAAUAAAAUAUGAAAAAUAACUGUAGAUACGUAAUUUUGUCCCUCUCGAAAAUGUAUUUUUACCUAUUUACCCAAUUCUAUCAUGUACCCUCAAUCAUGUCAUGAUUUCCCCACUAAAAUACAAAAUAAUAAAUCCCUAACAAGCCCUCAACGAAUUCACUAUCCACCCUAACUAAUUUUGCCAUCUUCCACCCCCACAUCUUACCCCACCUACCCCACAUACCCCUCCCAACUUACUUUUAUGACCAUUCUCUCCUCUAACGGGAUCCAUACAUCCAUUUACUCACAGGUGUAGAGAUUGAGAGUAACAAUACAUAUACUCACAGACACCUCACUAGAAGGAGGUCUUCAUUUUUCUUAUCUUUCAAAGAACACCCACAUAACAACGGAGAAAAACACAUACUCAGAGUUAGAUAGGUACAUAAACAAUAAUAUAUUUUACAGACUAGAGGAAAUAAUUUCCAUUUUUUUGUGAACACUACAAUACACAGGCAGAGAGAACAGCUCACACACACACACACAGUUCACCAGAGUUCGCACGUACCCCGCAGGAAAAACAUCCACACAUCAUGUCACUCACGAUACACUCAUCGACAUACACCAUCGGUGAUGGAUGGAAAAAGGGGUUGUGAGAGCUAGAUUAGAGAAACAGAGAGAGAUCAAAAAAAGGAGAAUUGGGUGUUUGGCUAUUUUUGGUGAGUUUUUGCUAGAAACUAGACCGAAUUACUGCCAGAUAGAUUGAAAGCCACGGUUUGGCUACUGUUUCGGUGAAACCGACCGAAGAAAAGUACUGUCAGUUCCAUUUCGACCUAAAUUCAUGCCAAAAAGGUUAUUCUCUCCCUGUUUUCAGUUUAAAUCUGCCGAAAAUCCCAUUGAUUGCACAAGCAGACCAGAAAUCACAUUCGCUGCUCAAGUUGUGGUUAUAAUUUGGGUGUUCGGAUUGCUCGUAUUAUUUGUGGGUAUAUACCUUGGUUCAUUGCACUAUCAUUCAAAGAAAAGAGACAAUCGAGGUCAAGGUUUUUCAUUUAUUGCGUGCUAGUUUGAGGUUCUGAAUCUGCAAAGAUUCUCUUUUUAAUGGAAUGAAAGUGACAUUAAGACUUUAUAAGCAAGAAGAAGAUCACGAGUUGGUCGAGGUUCGAUGCAAACAUGGAUAUUUUUUGCCUUUGAUGACUUCAUGGACCUCAAGAAAUCCAGGUAGACGAUAUUGGACUUGUCCUUACUAUGGAAAUGCUAGAUCAUGCAAUUUUUGGCUUUGGAAGGAUGAUUCUAUUGAUGAAUGAUCAAAAUUUGUUAUUCCUAAAUUGUUGGGAAGAAUUGGGGAGCUUGAGGAAAUAGUUGAAUCUUCAACAAAUUGUGCAUUUUGUGAACACAAAAUAGUUGAUGACAAGACUACUAGGACAACCAAAUCUGUGGAGAGCAAAAUAGACAUUAACAAAAUAAAUUGCAAAUGGAUAGUUUUUAGGAUGAUUUGAAGAUGAUGAAGGCAAAUGAGAAGAAAUGGAAGAUCAAGUUGGCUAAGUCCAAGAAAAGGGAAAAACAACUAUGGACUUCUCUCAUUUGUGUAUGUAUUUUGGGUGUUUGUUUUCUAUUUCAAUUCAUGUUCUUGAAAGGAUCUCCAAGAAGGAUACCCUAAACUAAGUUGCUUUGUUUUUGUUAUGUUUUAGGGGGCUGAAAUUUGUAUCAAUUAUUAGGUGUUACCUUUGACAAAACUGCCAGUUUAUGUAAUUAAAUUGUUGUGUAAUGAAAUUUGACGGUUGAAC
This is a long non-coding RNA of Capsicum annuum, 1811 nucleotides long. RefSeq lists it as uncharacterized. NCBI's taxonomy places the organism in Eukaryota, Viridiplantae, Streptophyta, Magnoliopsida, Solanales, Solanaceae. The transcript is spliced from 3 exons. The record is from RefSeq and is a predicted model, not a curated record.